AUUGAACGCUGGCGGCAUGCCUUACACAUGCAAGUCGAACGGCAGCACGGGUGCUUGCACCUGGUGGCGAGUGGCGAACGGGUGAGUAAUACAUCGGAACGUACCUUAUCGUGGGGAUAACGCAGCGAAAGCUGUGCUAAUACCGCAUACGCCCUGAGGGGGAAAGCGGGGGAUCGCAAGACCUCGCGCGAUUAGAGCGGCCGAUGCCUGAUUAGCUUGGUGGUAGGGUAAAAGCCCACCAAGGCGACGAUCAUUAGCUGGUCUGAGAGGACGAUCAGCCACACUGGGACUGAGACACGGCCCAGACUCCUACGGGAGGCAGCAGUGGGGAAUUUUGGACAAUGGGGGCAACCCUGAUCCAGCAAUGCCGCGUGAGUGAAGAAGGCCUUCGGGUUGUAAAGCUCUUUUGUCAGGGAAGAAACACCGGCUCUAACACAGUCUGGGAAUGACGGUACCUGAAGAAUAAGCACCGGCUAACUACGUGCCAGCCGCCGCGGUAA
RNAcentral lists this ribosomal RNA (500 nucleotides) under uncultured bacterium. RNAcentral's name for it is "partial 16S ribosomal RNA". It matches the Rfam family "Bacterial small subunit ribosomal RNA", at positions 30 to 523 of the family's 1533-position model. The record is from RNAcentral.